Long non-coding RNA from Coffea eugenioides, 476 nucleotides. RefSeq lists it as uncharacterized. The record is from RefSeq and is a predicted model, not a curated record. Lineage: Eukaryota; Viridiplantae; Streptophyta; Magnoliopsida; Gentianales; Rubiaceae. The transcript is spliced from 2 exons.
UUGACUGAAUUUUGACUGAAAUUAAGGACUAAACAUCUAAACCUAGUCUUCAGUCUAUUCUUCACUCCAAUCUUCGCCUCUUCAGUCUUCUUGCUUGGCUGCUCUUGCCGAGUUGCCGUCGUUGCCGAGUUGCCGUCUCUAUUUCCUUCUCGGCUUCUCAGUCCAAACUCCAAACUUGAUCCAUAGCAAUCAGCACGAAGGAAGCACGAAGCAAUGAUUCAUAUAAUGGUCUUGGAUGGUGAUGACGACUUGUCAAGAUGACUUAUUUUUGAAGCUUUGUUGUCCCAGAAUGACGAAGAAGAUUAUAGAAACCUCAGAAAUUGGAUUUGUUUGGACCUUUUGAGUGUUUUCUAGACUUAUAUUGUUUUUUUUUUAAUUCUAAUAUUUAGACAAUUGGACAUGCAAGUUGGAUAACUAUGAUAUUGCUCUUAUGUUAAUUGUGGUUUAACAUUUAUAUCUUAUUCUGUGCGCAGGUA